Operophtera brumata (winter moth) is the source of this 46-nucleotide non-coding RNA. Lineage: Eukaryota; Metazoa; Arthropoda; Insecta; Lepidoptera; Geometridae. The record is from Rfam.
CACAAGGCCCUUUUCAGGGCCACCUCAACCUGAUAUCUGGCUGCUG